GCACAAGCGGUGGAUGAUGUGGUUAAUUCGAUGCAACGCGAAAACCUUACCACCUUUGACAUGUACGGAACCCUUUAGAGAUAGAGGGGUGCUCGAAAGAGAGCCGUAGCACAGGUGCUGCAUGGCUGUCGUCAGCUCGUGUCGUGAGAUGUUGGGUUAAGUCCCGCAACGAGCGCAACCCUUGUCAUUAGUUGCUACAUUCAGUUGGGCACUCUAAUGAGACUGCCGGUGACAAGCCGGAGGAAGGUGGGGAUGACGUCAAGUCCUCAUGGCCCUUAUAGGUGGGGCUACACACGUCAUACAAUGGCUGGUACAAAGGGUUGCCAACCCGCGAGGGGGAGCCAAUCCCAUAAAGCCAGUCGUAGUCCGGAUCGUAGUCUGCAACUCGACUACGUGAAGUCGGAAUCGCUAGUAAUCGUGGAUCAGAAUGUCACGGUGAAUACGUUCCCGGGUCUU
RNAcentral lists this ribosomal RNA (456 nucleotides) under uncultured Rhodoferax sp. Its description in RNAcentral is "bacterial SSU rRNA". It matches the Rfam family "Bacterial small subunit ribosomal RNA", at positions 923 to 1382 of the family's 1533-position model. Lineage: Bacteria; Pseudomonadati; Pseudomonadota; Betaproteobacteria; Burkholderiales; Comamonadaceae. The record is from RNAcentral.